Potamilus streckersoni is the source of this 72-nucleotide non-coding RNA. Lineage: Eukaryota; Metazoa; Mollusca; Bivalvia; Unionida; Unionidae. The record is from the annotation of a GenBank genome assembly.
GCUCCAGUGACCUAGUGGUUAGAGCGUCCGCCUAAUAUGCGGGAGGUCGUGGGUUCAAACCCCAGCGAGUCA